This 72-nucleotide transfer RNA is filed under the name Phrynosoma platyrhinos (Desert horned lizard). RNAcentral's name for it is "tRNA-OTHER". The record is from RNAcentral. Lineage: Eukaryota; Metazoa; Chordata; Lepidosauria; Squamata; Phrynosomatidae.
GCCAGUGUGGUAUAGUGGUUUUAGCAUUAGAUUAUGACUCUGGAGACCAGGGUUCAAAUCCCAGCUCAACUA